This is a long non-coding RNA of Orussus abietinus, 810 nucleotides long. RefSeq lists it as uncharacterized. Lineage: Eukaryota; Metazoa; Arthropoda; Insecta; Hymenoptera; Orussidae. The record is from RefSeq and is a predicted model, not a curated record. The transcript is spliced from 4 exons.
UUACUUUUCCAUUACUAUAAUCAAUAUAAUUCUUUUUCUACUUUCUUAUCACGGAAUUAAUAUUAAUUUUAGGUAAUAUUGCAAUCACAUACAUCGGUUAUCAGUCCAUGAACUACUCCGAUGCAGGCUUCAGCAUUCUUUUCGCAGACAAGUUCUCGAAGCGAGUCAAGAUCGAACAACUUCCCCAUACUCUGUGAAUCGAGCCUCAUUAUCGAAGAAAGAGCUACGCACUCCAGGGUGGAUCGAAGACAAGGGAUGCUGGGGAUCUCAGUCGUCUCCAACACACUGGUUAUCACCUUUGGAUUUAACAGGGCAGCGAUCACAUCAUCCAAAACUAAAAUAAUAAAUAUUCAUUUUAAAAAGACUAUAAUAUAUCUUAACAAGCAAGUCUUAAAAUUCUCAAUAAAAUUCACAGGGCCGGGUAAUUCUUUCUUCAUGUUAUGAUAGAAAUAACGUACAACAUCUCGCCUCCCAGAUUCAAGUAAAGCAAUGGCGUCGCGUGGGACAUGUUUCACGAAUUUAUAAAAAAUAUCUUCUGCAAAAGGAGGCCGGGGUUGCGGCCACGAAAAGUCGAUGUGGACUACAGCUACAGGCCGGCAAAAGGAACAAUGUUAAACCGGGCCUGCGCGUUAUUGUCGGUCGUUUUAUACCUGUAGACAUGAACCCUCGUUAUUACUGAAUGUACAGGACGUGCAGUGAUCGAUAGCGGAGUACUGACUACAUUCUGUUGUGCCCUUAUCGUUCCUAAUUAAGUAUAGGUACUUAUGUAUCGUAGUUCUGGGUCCUUACGCGUACCGUAAAAAUUAACAG